UUAAGCGACUAAGCGUACACGGUGGAUGCCUAGGCAAUCAGAGGCGAUGAAGGACGUGCUAAUCUGCGAUAAGCGUCGGUAAGGUGAUAUGAACCGUUACAACCGACGAUUUCCGAAUGGGGAAACCCAGUGCAAUUCGUUGCACUAUCGUUUGAUGAAUACAUAGUCAAACGAAGCGAACCGGGGGAACUGAAACAUCUCAGUACCCCGAGGAAAAGAAAUCAACCGAGAUUCCCCUAGUAGCGGCGAGCGAACGGGGAGCAGCCCAGAGUCUUAAUCAGCAUUAGCAUCAGGAGAACGGUCUGGAAAGUCCGGCAGUAAAGGGUGAUAGCCCCGUAUCCGAAGGUGUUAGUGUUGUGAACUCGACGAGUAGGGCGGGACACGUGUUAUCCUGUCUGAAUAUGGGGGGACCAUCCUCCAAGGCUAAAUACUCCUGAUUGACCGAUAGUGAACCAGUACCGUGAGGGAAAGGCGAAAAGAACCCCGGCGAGGGGAGUGAAAUAGAACCUGAAACCGUGUACGUACAAGCAGUGGGAGCCUUGAUUUAUCAGGGUGACUGCGUACCUUUUGUAUAAUGGGUCAGCGACUUAUAUUCUGUAGCAAGGUUAACCGAAUAGGGGAGCCGUAGGGAAACCGAGUCUUAACUGGGCGAAUAAGUUGCAGGGUAUAGACCCGAAACCCGGUGAUCUAGCCAUGGGCAGGUUGAAGGUUGGGUAACACUAACUGGAGGACCGAACCGACUAAUGUUGAAAAAUUAGCGGAUGACUUGUGGCUGGGGGUGAAAGGCCAAUCAAACCGGGAGAUAGCUGGUUCUCCCCGAAAGCUAUUUAGGUAGCGCCUCGUGAACUCAUCUUCGGGGGUAGAGCACUGUUUCGACUAGGGGGUCAUCCCGACUUACCAACUCGAUGCAAACUACGAAUACCGAAGAAUGUUAUCACGGGAGACACACGGCGGGUGCUAACGUUCGUCGUGAAGAGGGAAACAACCCAGACCGCCAGCUAAGGUCCCAAAGUCAUAGUUAAGUGGGAAACGAAGUGGGAAGGCUCAGACAGCCAGGAUGUUGGCUUAGAAGCAGCCAUCAUUUAAAGAAAGCGUAAUAGCUCACUGGUCGAGUCGGCCUGCGCGGAAGAUGUAACGGGGCUAAACUAUGCACCGAAGCUGCGGCAGCGAUAUUUAGAUAUUGUUGGGUAGGGGAGCGUUCUGUAAGCCUGUGAAGGUGUGCUGUGAGGCAUGCUGGAGGUAUCAGAAGUGCGAAUGCUGACAUAAGUAACGAUAAUGCGGGUGAAAAACCCGCACGCCGGAAGACCAAGGGUUCCUGUCCAACGUUAAUCGGGGCAGGGUGAGUCGACCCCUAAGGCGAGGCAGAAAUGCGUAGUCGAUGGGAAACGGGUUAAUAUUCCCGUACUGGUGAUAAUUGCGAUGGGGGGACGGAGAAGGCUAGGCUAUCCGGGCGACGGUUGUCCCGGUUUAAGGAUGUAGGCAGGUGAAUUAGGCAAAUCCGGUUCACUAUAUGCUGAGGUCCGAUGACGAGUCACUACGGUGAUGAAGUAGCUCAUGCCCCGCUUCCAGGAAAAGCCUCUAAGCUCUAGAUUAUCAUUAAUCGUACCCCAAACCGACACAGGUGGUCAGGUAGAGAAUACUCAGGCGCUUGAGAGAACUCGGGUGAAGGAACUAGGCAAAAUGGUGCCGUAACUUCGGGAGAAGGCACGCUGGCAUUAGGUGAAGUGAUUUACUCAUGGAGCUGAAGCCAGUCGCAGAUACCAGCUGGCUGCAACUGUUUAUUAAAAACACAGCACUGUGCAAACACGAAAGUGGACGUAUACGGUGUGACGCCUGCCCGGUGCUGGAAGGUUAAUUGAUGGGGUUAUCCGUAAGGAGAAGCUCUUGAUCGAAGCCCCAGUAAACGGCGGCCGUAACUAUAACGGUCCUAAGGUAGCGAAAUUCCUUGUCGGGUAAGUUCCGACCUGCACGAAUGGCGUAAUGAUGGCCAGGCUGUCUCCACCCGAGACUCAGUGAAAUUGAACUCGCUGUGAAGAUGCAGUGUACCCGCGGCAAGACGGAAAGACCCCGUGAACCUUUACUAUAGCUUGACACUGAACAUUGAGCCUUGAUGUGUAGGAUAGGUGGGAGGCUUCGAAGCGUGGACGCCAGUCUGCGUGGAGCCAACCUUGAAAUACCACCCUUUAAUGUUUGAUGUUCUAACGUUGCCCCAUUAUCUGGGGUGCGGACAGUGUCUGGUGGGUAGUUUGACUGGGGCGGUCUCCUCCCAAAGAGUAACGGAGGAGCACGAAGGUUGGCUAAGCAUGGUCGGACAUCAUGCGGUUAGUGCAAAGGCAUAAGCCAGCUUGACUGCGAGAGUGACGGCUCGAGCAGGUACGAAAGUAGGUCUUAGUGAUCCGGUGGUUCUGAAUGGAAGGGCCAUCGCUCAACGGAUAAAAGGUACUCCGGGGAUAACAGGCUGAUACCGCCCAAGAGUUCAUAUCGACGGCGGUGUUUGGCACCUCGAUGUCGGCUCAUCACAUCCUGGGGCUGAAGUAGGUCCCAAGGGUACGGCUGUUCGCCGUUUAAAGUGGUACGCGAGCUGGGUUUAGAACGUCGUGAGACAGUUCGGUCCCUAUCUGCCGUGGGCGUUGGAAGAUUGAAAGGGGCUGCUCCUAGUACGAGAGGACCGGAGUGGACGCACCACUGGUGUUCGGGUUGUCAUGCCAAUGGCAUUGCCCGGUAGCUAAGUGCGGAAGAGAUAACCGCUGAAAGCAUCUAAGCGGGAAACUUGCCUUGAGAUGAGUCUUCCCUGACUCUUUAAGGGUCCUAAAGGAACGUUUAAGACUAAGACGUUGAUAGGUUGGGUGUGUAAGCGUAGCGAUACGUUGAGCUAACCAAUACUAAUGAACCGUGAGGCUUAACC
RNAcentral lists this ribosomal RNA (2905 nucleotides) under Providencia rettgeri. RNAcentral describes it as "23S ribosomal RNA". It matches the Rfam family "Bacterial large subunit ribosomal RNA". Lineage: Bacteria; Pseudomonadati; Pseudomonadota; Gammaproteobacteria; Enterobacterales; Morganellaceae. The record is from RNAcentral.